This 274-nucleotide ribosomal RNA is filed under the name uncultured bacterium. RNAcentral's name for it is "partial 16S ribosomal RNA". It matches the Rfam family "Bacterial small subunit ribosomal RNA", at positions 523 to 796 of the family's 1533-position model. The record is from RNAcentral.
AUACGGAGGGGGCUAGCGUUGUUCGGAUUUACUGGGCGUAAAGCGCGCGUAGGCGGUAUAUCAAGUUAGGCGUGAAAGCCCCGGGCUCAACCCGGGAACUGCACUUAUUACUGAUAAACUAGAGUCCGGGAGAGGGUGGCGGAAUUCCCAGUGUAGAGGUGAAAUUCGUAGAUAUUGGGAAGAACACCAGUUGCGAAGGCGGCCACCUGGACCGGUACUGACGCUGAGGUGCGAAAGCGUGGGGAGCAAACAGGAUUAGAAACCCCGGUAGUCC